GGAGGCCCGUUGGCUGUUCCCGCAAAGAGUGGGGGGCGCAUUUUCUCUCCUGCCAGCCCGCUCCAUCCUGGUCGUUUAUUCCCGGCCUUCCCUCACCCCCCACCCCCACAGCCUGCUGUACGUAAAUAGGCAAAUAGAUCUACAGGGACACAAUAAUUUAGCUUGGGGAAACCAGACGACCCAGCGGCCACGGGACGAGUCACCCCAACUCAACCCCAGCAGGACGCUGGAGGGGCCUCCCUUGCCCACCUCUCUUCGCUAGCACUGGCCUCCCGCACCUGGGUCUGCAGUCCCUCCGCCAUCUCACAAGUGUGCAGCCGCUAGGCCUGGGGGAUCCGAAUGACUGGGGCUGGAUAGGAAUGCCUUCGUGUUUCCCAAGACCCCCGGGCCUGCUCCACAAAGUUUGAAGGGAGCUCAGAGAUGCCCGGGAAGACGGGGGG
This 440-nucleotide long non-coding RNA is filed under the name Homo sapiens (human). RNAcentral's name for it is "non-protein coding lnc-FOXD4L5-39:1". Lineage: Eukaryota; Metazoa; Chordata; Mammalia; Primates; Hominidae. The record is from RNAcentral.